GCCAGGCAUGGUGACGCAGGCCUGUAAUCCCAGGGGCUCAGGAGGCUGAGACAGGAGGAUCACCAGUUUAAAGUCAGCCUCAGUAACUCAAUGAGGCCCUAAGCAACUCAAUGAGACCCUGUCUCUA
RNAcentral lists this small RNA (127 nucleotides) under Marmota monax (woodchuck). The record is from RNAcentral. Lineage: Eukaryota; Metazoa; Chordata; Mammalia; Rodentia; Sciuridae.